This is a non-coding RNA of Onthophagus taurus, 259 nucleotides long. NCBI's taxonomy places the organism in Eukaryota, Metazoa, Arthropoda, Insecta, Coleoptera, Scarabaeidae. The record is from RefSeq and is a predicted model, not a curated record.
AUAAUGACAGAGGUUGUUAAAGGGCAUCAAAAAAUUUGAAUUAUUUAUCUUAUUCAUUAAAAAAAAUAGGUUAAAAUUGAGGUUAGGUUUACCUCCCCAAACGCCAAGAUUAAGCUGUUUGGUGUCUAAAUUUUCGAUGUAAUCCCCCAAUACCGAAUUUAGGACCUGAUUUAGAACCGCGAUGAAACAACUGUCUUCUACGCCGAACUGAACAAUAAUACUAAAAAAUAAAACCUGAAAUAGCUAUCGUCGUACGACC